GAUGAACGCUGGCGGCGUGCUUAACACAUGCAAGUCGAACGAAGCACUUUUAUUUGAUUUCUUCGGAAUGAAGAUUUUAGUGACUGAGUGGCGGACGGGUGAGUAACGCGUGGGUAACCUGCCUCAUACAGGGGGAUAACAGUUAGAAAUGACUGCUAAUACCGCAUAAGACCACAGCACCGCAUGGUGCAGGGGUAAAAACUCCGGUGGUAUGAGAUGGACCCGCGUCUGAUUAGGUAGUUGGUGGGGUAACGGCCUACCAAGCCGACGAUCAGUAGCCGACCUGAGAGGGUGACCGGCCACAUUGGGACUGAGACACGGCCCAAACUCCUACGGGAGGCAGCAGUGGGGAAUAUUGCACAAUGGGGGAAACCCUGAUGCAGCGACGCCGCGUGAGCGAUGAAGUAUUUCGGUAUGUAAAGCUCUAUCAGCAGGGAAGAAAAUGACGG
This 449-nucleotide ribosomal RNA is filed under the name uncultured bacterium. RNAcentral describes it as "bacterial SSU rRNA". It matches the Rfam family "Bacterial small subunit ribosomal RNA", at positions 28 to 457 of the family's 1533-position model. The record is from RNAcentral.